RNAcentral lists this long non-coding RNA (7383 nucleotides) under Solanum tuberosum (potato). RNAcentral's name for it is "long non-coding RNA (STUB_LNC000104)". Lineage: Eukaryota; Viridiplantae; Streptophyta; Magnoliopsida; Solanales; Solanaceae. The record is from RNAcentral.
CUACACUCAAUCAUAAACUUAUGCACAGUCCUGGAACAAUUUAUAUCUUCCUUAAUCUCCCAGCGCAGUGCCUUGUUGGAAAUACUUGAGUCCAUCCUGACUACUAAAUCUCUGGAAGGUCUUCGUGCAAGUCAACUUGCAUGUAGGGUAAGCAUUAUUUCAAACAUCUAUGUUCACCUAUCUCCUGCUACUGCCUUUUAUGUUCUCUUUUGGGUAAUUGAGUUUGCUGUGUAGUUGGUCUAGGUUUGUGUUAUUUUUUCAGGAUAGUGGUGACUGUUCAGGAAAGCAACCUUUGCAUCCACAGAGCUAGAAGCUUUGGGGUACUCUCAAGAUGAAUCAGUUCUUCAAAAGUUCUAGAAGCUUUGUGAACGCCAACUACCUGCAAUUUAGUAGGUUUAUCCUUGAUCCAUCCUCCUCACCUCCCAUAACUUCAGAAACAGCCAACAACAAAAAACUCUUAUUAGGGGGUUCAUGGGGUUUGGGGAGCAUUGAGUCAAUACCUUGGGUUAUUUUCCCAUCUUUGCUCCGUUUAUUUUGAGCUUUUUGAUUACCAUCACAUGGACCUGUUUGAUCAACUUUAUCAGGGGAAUGGGGUUGUUGGGAGAGUUAAGUCAAUACCUGACUUUUCCACCUGCUGCUUUUUGAAAUAUUUUCCUGCAAAUUUAGGUUGUUCACUGGUUUGUAGACUUUAUUUUGAUGACCAUGGCCUUGCUGACCUUUGUUAUUUUUCCUUUUUUUGAGUUUACCACUCAUCCAUUUGUUGUUUGUCCAUCUCAGGUUGUGUUUGUUGCAAUUUUUUUGGGUAUCCUAAGCACCUUAAACACUAGCAGUGAUAUUAGCAUUAACCUGUGGAGGAGAAGUUUGGGGAAUUACCUGAUUUCUGGCAUUUGCAGUCUUCUUGCCCUUGAUUUUAUUUGCAGCUUGAGCUUCUUUUCUCUUCUUGUAUUCCUCAUCUUUUCUCUUUAUGUUACAAACUUGUGAUAUGUGUCCUUGGUGUUUGCAAUAAGAAACUCUGGUAGUCCCUCAUAUUGGAUGGCUUGCCAUCUUCCCACAGUAAAGUCUUCUUCAUCAAACCCCAUCCAAACAUGAGGAGGUCUUUCUUUCGUAAUGUCUAUUUGCAUCCUAAUUCUUGCCACACUGCCUCUAUUUUUUUUUUUGGAGAGAUGCAGCAUCCAAAUAUAAUGUUUACCAAUAGGAGAUAGGAGGGAAGUCAAAAACUCUUUGUUAUAGCAAUGCCAAGGUAGCUCUGGUAGAGUAACCCCUACAUGCACGAAUGGGGGUCUCUUCCUCAGGAGUGUAGGUGGGGUCUAGACUUGGAGUCUCAUUAUUGAUCCUCAAUGUACAUCUUUUGUAUGUUCCACACAGAAAUAUGAUCUUCUUCGUUGUCCAAGCCAAUAUAAAUAUGCCUCGUAUUAAAGUGAGCUAUUUUGACACCACAAGUAAGCUGAGUAUGAAGGUAAAACUCUUCCUGAUAAAUUCAAUUUUUGGCGUAGUGUUUGUGAACUUCCCAACCAUAGUGUAUUUGCAUCUUGAAGCUAAUUUCACCAAAAAAUCCUCUUUUUAAAAAAUCACUACUGGCAGGCCUUAUCUUGUAGGGAGUGUAGGAGUCGAUAUCUUAAUAGGGAUUUCAUUCUUAGCUUGGUUAGCUCGUAGUCUUGUUGCAAAAGUUUGGAUCACAGUGAAAGGACCUGGUUCAAAGGUCAGCACAUUUUUGGUGUUUGUACAAUGAUCAUGGUGUCUAAAAACUUUGGUAUUAUUUUCCAUAUGAGAUUUCUGUUUCUUUUGAGGGUUGUUGGGAAUAUAUUUAUCGAAGUUGGAAGUGAGUUUAGUGAGAUUAUGGGGAAUAUGAGCAGUAGGCUUUUGGGAGGUGGUAGAUACAUCUUUAGUUCUACUCUCUUCAGCAUUCAAAACCUUAUGAUUGAUGGAAUUGUUAAGAUCAACAGGGACAGGAUUUUGUCUAAGACGAACCUGCCAGUUCCUUUUUUCCUUUUUCAACAAUCUGCAUAGAAUGUGUCAGCGCACUCAAAUGUUGCUCAAUUGCAUCAGAUUGCAAUUGAGCUUCAUUUUUAACAAACAUCUUGGGAUCAUUAAGCAUUGGAUGAGCAUUAGUAUACUUACCUUGAUCAGCAAGAGGUCUUAUAUUACCACUUACAUUCAUUUGUUGAGGUGCAGCUUCAUUACUAACACAAUUAAUACUAUCCGAAGAGAUUGAGAUAGAGUUGCUUAGUAUACUUACCUUGAUCAACAAGAGGUCUUAUAUUACCACUUACAUUCAUUUGUUGAGGUGCAGCUUCAUUACUAACACAAUUAAUACUAUCCGAAGAGAUUGAGACAGAGUUGCUAGGACACUUUUCUUGAGGUUUUGUGAUUCGUUUGUUGGAAUUUUGUUGAACAUUUGGUUGAUCAUUGCCAGACACAACUUCUUUAUCAUUAUUGAGUAUUUUCAAGUCUUGAUCAGGCUGCUCAGAACUUACCCCUGCCUUCUAUAGCAUUUGAAAUUCAUGUAUUUCUUUGUGUUUGAAGGACCCGAUUUUGGUUCACAACCUGGCCUUGAGCUAUUAAAGGUUAAAUAAACUGGCCUUCUUCACCUGAGUAUGUGACCUUUUGACUAUUAGGAUGAGAAUUUUGCACCUUCGUCUCACCUUGACGGUAAUCGUCGACUGUUUUUGAGCUUAUGAGAUGUGUUUUCUUGUGUUGAGUAUUUUGGCAUCUAUUUAGGAAAUCUAUGUACAAUUUUAAGAAGGGUAGAGAAUAAGUUAUGUGGGUAUUAGUUAUACAUGGAUAAAAUUAUAAAGUUACAUAUUUACCCCUUUUUUUUUUCCAUAAGGGUAGCUUAGUUUAGGAACAAAUUCUGAAAGGAACGGUAAUAUAUGAAUUAACACUAGUAUAUAUACAAAUUAAUAAGCAAUUAUAAUAUUUGGUUUAAAAUAUUUAUAUCUUUAAAUAAUAAAAAGUAUUCUUGCUAGAAUUCACAAAGUAGUAUUUUAGGAAGUAGCAAUCACCGCUUAAGUUGUUUUCUCAUUUUUUGACAUCACUCUUUCAAUUCUCCACAUUAUUGAUAAUUUCUCUGACUUUUAUAAGGUAUUCUUUAAUUCACUUUUAAUUUUUCUUGUGUAUUUAACGUGAUUCAAGAUUAGAAAAAAAUAUAUAUUUAAACAAUAUCAUUAUCAGUUGAUUUUUGUUUGGGACAUGUAUAUAAUUAAUUUAUUACAAAUCAAACUUUCAAUACGAAAUGAUUCAUGUAAUAUUAUUCAUACAUAACUAAUAAUUGCAUAACUAAUACCUGCAUAACUUAUACCUGCAUAACUAUAAUCAGUAAUCAAACGACCCUUUUGGGUAAGAUUAAGGUUUAUGCCUUAGGGUUUAUGGUUUAGGGUUAAGGGUUUAGGAUUUAGGCCUUAAUAUUUAGGGUUUAUGGUUAGGGAUUUAGGAUUUUGGCACUCUUAGUUUAGGGUUUAGGUUUUAUGGUUUAGGGUUCAAGGUUUAGUCCCAAAAGUUUAGGAUUUAGGGUUUAGAGGUUAGAAUUUAUGAUUUACGCUUAAGGAUUUAGGCCCUAAGGUUUAGAGUUUAGGGUUUAGGAUUUAGGAUUUGGGCACAAAGGUUUGAGGUUUUGAGUUUAAGGUUUAGAUUUUAGGUCCUAAGUUUAGGGUUUAGGCCCUAUGAGUUAGUGUUUAUGGUUUAGGACUUAAUGGUUUAGAUUUUAGACCAUAAGGUUUAGGGUUGAGAGUUUAUGGUUUAGUCCCUAGGGUGUACGGUUUAGGGUUUAGGCCGUAAGGUGUAGGGUUUAGGAUUUAUGGUUUAGGCCAUAAGGUAUAGGGUUGAGGGUUUAGAUCCUAAGGUUAAGUGUUUUUGGUUUUUGGAUUCUGGAUUAUGAUUUAGGGUUUAGAGUUUAGGCUCUAAGGUUUAGGGUUUAGGAUGUGAGGUUUACAAUUUAUUGUUUAUGGUUUAUGGUUUAUGGUUUAAGGUUUCGUUUUUAUGGUUCAAGUUUUAAGGUUUAGGCCCUAAUGUUUAGGGUUUAUACUUUAGUGUUUAGGGUUUAGGGUUUAAGGUUUAUAUGGUUUAUGGUUUAGGGGUUAGGCCCUAAGAUUUAGAGUUUAGAAUUUAUGGUUUAGAUUUUAGGGUCUAGGUCCUAAGGUUUAGGCUGUAGGGUUUAAGCCAUUUGGUUUAGAGUUUAGGGUUUAUGGUAUAUGGUUUAGGAUUAAGGCAAGUUAGGUUUAGGAUUUAGGACCUAAGUUUUAGAGUUUGGGGUAUAGGGUUUCGAGUUUAGGGUUCAGGCCCUAAGGUUUAGGGUGGUCUAUCUUAGUUUUUGAUCUUUAGUUUGUGUCUUUGUUUUUGUUUAAAUAAUUGAGAUAUGGAUUGAUGAUGCCCAAUGAUGGAUAGAUUGACGACUUUCUUAAGGGUAAAUCGUCGAUUGUUUGCGAGUGUUUGAUUGGUGUUGGAUGUGGUGAAGUGUGAGUAGGGUUUAGGGUUUAGGGUUUAGAGAUAGCUUUAGGUGUUAAUGCCCUAAGGUUUAUGGUUUGGGGUUUAGGCCCUAAGGUUAAGGGUGUAGGUCCUAAGGUAUAUGGUUUAGAUUUAGGCCCUAUUAAAUGAUUUUGAAUGUCAUAUCACUGGUGUGUAUGCUUCUAACAGAAAAUUGGAAAGGAGACUGAUAUGAGAGGAAUUAGCUGAUGUUAGAAGUCUGAUGGAGGGGCCAUGGCCUAUCUAUGGUUCAUUUAAUAUAUGUUGAUUCCCAUAUCAAAAAAGGACUGCAUUAGGAGAACUUCAGCUAUGGGAGAAUUUUCAGAUUGUAUGGAGGGCAUGGAACUAGUUGAUUUGCAGCUUGAUGUGGAACUUGCACUAGGUUUAAAGGAUAAGACCAUACUAAUUUCUCUGGAAUAGAUCCACAUAAUGCAAUAACUAAUUUAGUAAUCUAAAGCAGUCUACUCUACAAAGAGUGGUUUCAAAUCAUGUCCCAAUUGCUCUGCUGUGUUUAGGGUUUAGGAUUUAUGGUUUAUGUUUUAGGGUUUUGGCAUUAAGGUUUAGGGUUUAAGGUUAAGGCCCUAAAGUUUAGGGUUUAGUCCCUAUGGUGUAGGGUUUAGUCCCUAAGGUGUAAGGUUUAGGGUUUAGGAUUUAAGGACCCUAAGACUUAGGGUUUAGGAUUUGGCCCUAAUGUUUAGGGUUUAUGAUUUAUGGUUUAGGCCCUAAAAUUUAGGUUGAAGGUUUAGGGUUUAUGGUUUAUGAUUUUGGGGUUAGGGUUUAGAGUUUAGGUCCUAAGGUUUAGGGUUUAGGCACUAAGGCUUAGAGUUCAUGGUUUAUGGUUUAGGGUUUAGACCCUACGGUUUAGGAUUUAGGCACUAAAGCUUAGAGUUAAUUGUUUAUGAUUUAGGGUUUAGGCAUAAUGUUUAGUGUUCAGCGUUUAGGCACAAAGGCGGGUUUCAAGUUUAUGGUUUAGGUUUAGGUUUCUGGGUUUAGGCCCUAAGACUUAGAGUUUAGGAUUUAUAUUUUAGGUCCUAAGGUUUCAGGUUUAGAGUUUAGAAUUUAGGGUUGGGUGUAGGGUUUACGGUUUUACGCCCCAAGAUAUAGGGUUUAGGCCCUAAGUUUUAGGGUUUAGGAUUUAGGCCCUAAAUUUAGGGGUUAGGAUUUAAGGAUUAGGUCUUAAGAUUUAGGGUUUAUAAAUUUAUGAUUUUGGUCCUAAGAUUUAUGAUUUAAGGUUUAUAAUUUAGGUUUUAGAGUUUAGGCCCUUAGAUUUGGAGUUUAUGUUUUAUGGUUAUGGUUUAGAAUUUUUAUGGCACAAGGUUAAAGGUUUAAGUCCUAAGGUCUAGGCUUUAGGGUUUAGGCCCUAAGGCUUAGGGUUUUUGAUUUUUGGUAUAUGUUGUAGGAUUUACGUAGGGUUUAGGUUUUACCCUAAGGUUUAAGGUUUAACGUUUAGGUUUAGGGUUUAGGAUUUUACCCUAAGGUUUAAGGUUUAAUGUUUAGGGUUUAAGCCUUAAGGUUUAGGUUUAACGGUUUUAGGUCCUAAGGUAAAUUUACGGUUUAGGAUUUGGCCCAAAGGUUUAGGGUUUACUGUUUAGGCCCUAAGGUUUAAGGUCUAGAGAUUUGGGUUUAAGGUUAGGCCCAAAGGUUUAGGGUUUAUGACUUAAGUUUUUUUUUUAAUGACCCUUGAGCCAGGGGUUAGCAACACCCCCAGGCCUUAUCAUUAAUAAAUCAAAAAACCUUACCUCCGAUCGUAUGGUGGUUCAUAAGUCGGCUAUCCUACUAAGGACGGCCAACUCAACCCCGAUACUAGAAAAGAAACCUAGAUCAACUGUGAACCUAGAAGAGAGGACUCUUCUCAAUACAAGUAAUAUAGGAAAGCGAUAAAUAAGGGAGACUCUCCCUUUACAAAGUAAGAAGAAAAAACAAAAAGCAAAAAAACAAAAGGGCAUCUUUAGAUGAACCAUAUGGAAAGCUGUCGGAUCAAGGUGGUUCUCUGAUCUUCAUCUUUCUUCUUCUAAAAUUUGGCUUCUCAGUCUUGUCUAGAAUAUAGUAUCCUCUAGCUUCUUUGGUAGCUGGUGGACAUGGAAGUAAUGUUGAGGGACUUCACUGUUAUGGCUAGUUUUAGAUAAAACAUCAGCCAUAAAGUUAGUCUCUCUAAAGGUGUGAUUACAGGAAAAGGAUUGGAAUUGAUCACAUGUUCUCUUAAGGUUAGCUACAGUAUGGUGCAAAUUCCAAGGUGGAGCAACUUCUUGUUUUAUCCAGUGAACCUCUAACUCAGAGUCUACUUCCAAAAUCACCUAGUUAAAACCAUUAUUUAGACACCAAGAUAGACCCCAUUGAGCAGCUUCAAUCUUUGCUUGGUUGUUGGUACCAUGGCCUAGUGGAGUAGCAUAAGCAUAGAUUAAAUCACCUAGGGCAUCUCUAAACAAAUACCACCAGCCCCUAUCUUUCCUGGGUUGUCUAAUGCACUACCAUCAGAGUUGAUUUUAAUCACAUUUGUAGGUGGCUUAAACCAACUUACCUUGGUAAUUUUGAUAUCAUGGAAGCAAUUUCCUGCAAACUGUAUCAACUCAGGCCACUUGCAUGGCCAUUUGAUGUAAGGAGAGUUGAUGAGUAGGAGGUUGUUGAUAUCUUUAAGCACCAAGUAUAUCACUCUAGUGAUAUUAUAGUUGUUUCCUCCAUAUUUGCAUGCACAUCUAAUUUUCCACAGGUUCCAACAAGUAAAGAUAUUGAUUUACUGCAGACAUCAAGGCCACAAGGUUCAUACAUGCAAUGUCAAGAGGAGAGAUGCUGAAUAUCGAAUAAGAAAGGCAGUGGAAGCAGCAAACAAGAACAAACCCAAAACAACACAAGGAAAUGAUACUCAUGUAACUACUCUACCAAUUAAUUAUCAGCCUGUUAAGAAUAAUAUUUCUGCUACUGUUUCAG